RNA transcript from Prosopis cineraria, 1870 nucleotides. It is a transcript of the gene named peroxisome biogenesis protein 12, with no coding region annotated. Lineage: Eukaryota; Viridiplantae; Streptophyta; Magnoliopsida; Fabales; Fabaceae. The record is from RefSeq and is a predicted model, not a curated record. The transcript has 11 exons.
AUUUUUAUUUUUAAAGGAAUGAGGGACAUCCAUAAAGUUUUCACUCUCACUAGCUUGAUCCAAAAAAUUCCGAUAUCGGAUUGUGGUAUUGAUAUUUCGACGACCCUUUUUGCUUACAGACGGAGAAAUCGGACGAUGUACAAGAGCCGGCGAGUUUGAAGAGUUCAGGUUUAGUAUGUGCUAGGGAUUGAGCACUUUUGGCUUGGCGAUUGGGAAUUUUUACGGGAAAGGAACGAGCGAGGAAGUGAAAAAGAAAGAAAUGUUGUUUCAGGUGGGAGGUCAAGGGACUCGUCCCACAUUCUUCGAGAUGGCGGCGGCUCAACAGCUUCCUGUCAGUCUCCGUGCUGCUCUUACCUACUCAAUUGGUGUAUUGGCCUUAAGAAGGCCAUUCCUUCACAGAGUCUUGGACUAUGAAGAUGAAUUUUUCGCCUUGCUCAUGCUGGUUCUUGAAACUCACAGCAUACGAACAACAGAUGCUUCUUUUUCUGAAUCUCUAUAUGGCCUUCGAAGAAGAGCAGUUAAUAUCAGGGCAAAGAACGAUGAUACUAGCUCAAAAUCAGCUGAUGCCACUAAUCAUUCUGGAUUAGAGAAGCGACAAAAAGUUCUAUCAGUAGUUUUCUUGGUUGUGCUUCCAUAUUUAAAACAUAAAUUACAUUCAAUGUACAAUAAAGAAAGGGAAGCUAGGCUUCAAGCUAGUCUAUGGGGAGAUGAAAGUGAAGGAUUGGAUGUCAGCCAGAGCUUUGCUGAAGAAGAUUUUCAAGUGUCGAGAGGAACUUUGAAUGCUGAAGCCUCUGUUGGAUUGCGGGUGAGAAAGAGAGUUCACAAAAUUAUAGGAUUUUGCUACCCUUGGUUACAUGCCACUACCGAGGGCGUGUCAUUUGCUUAUCAGUUGCUAUACCUGCUGGAUGCCACUGGAUACUACUCACUGGCACUGCAUGUUCUUGGCAUUCAUGUCUGUCGUGCUACAGGACAAGAGCUGAUGGAUACAUCUUCCAGAAUUUCCAAGAUUCGAAGCCGUGAACGUGAGAGACUUCGUGGCCCUCAAUGGUUGAAGACAUUACAAGGAGCGCUGCUUAGCUGUACAUACACGAUACUUGACUAUGCACAGACUGGUUUGAUUGCUUCGGUGUUCUUUUUCAAAAUGAUGGAAUGGUGGUACCAAUCUGCUGAGGAGAGAAUGUCAGCACCAACAGUAUAUCCCCCUCCCCCUCCCCCUCCUCCCCCAAAGGUAGCAAGAGAGGGGAUACCGCUGCCGCCAGACAGAACAAUUUGUCCAUUGUGCUCGCAGAAGCGUGCAAAUCCAUCUGUCAUUACAGUUUCGGGGUUUGUUUUCUGCUAUGCCUGCAUCUUUAAGUAUGUUACCCAGUAUAAGCGCUGCCCAAUCACGUUGAUGCCUGCGACGGUUGACCAGAUACGGAGGCUCUUUCAUGAUGUUUAGGGUUCUCCGGCAAUGAGAAGGGGCUUGGUUAGUAAGGCAUUUCGUAUCAGCAGAGACGCCAGCCACUUGUCAAUGUAUAUCCUGUUGAUAUAUAUGUAUGUAUGUAUGUAUGUAUGCAUGCAUGCACACACAACCCCCUUUCCUUUUGCUAGUGUUAGGGGCUCGGCAAUAGGCGCCAUUAUACAUCGUUGUAAUUAAGUGAAGGAGUAUGAAUAUGGUAAUGCAUUAAGCGUGAAGCUUCGAGGUUACCGACAUGUGGUGAUUUCGAGUCCACUUCUUUUUCUGUGACGUCUACUUGGGACCAUUUCAGUUCAGCUGUACCGAUUUAUGGCCAUGUUUCAUCAAGUACACUGGCGAAACAUAAUUUCUGUUUAGAGUGUUUUUUUCCCCCAACCCAGUAUUAAAAAAAAAAAAGAGGAUUAUUUAAGUCAA